GUUGGGUUGACCCAGAUGGUUGGGUUCGGUAGGCUUAUAGUCUGGCCUGCCCUCUCCAAGCAUGGAGUUGGAUCACGUGGCUUAGUCGAAAGACCUGGGUUGCUUGAUUCCUAAAGUGGGGUGGACUGCGUGAGGCUGGUUUCACAGAGCAACGAACAGCUUCCGCUCUGUGCAGUGGAAGGAUAACGGGUCAGUGCUCAGCGAGUCCAGUUAACGCCCUGAUGGGCUGCUCCAACUAAA
This 240-nucleotide signal recognition particle RNA is filed under the name Solanum lycopersicum (tomato). RNAcentral describes it as "Plant signal recognition particle RNA". It matches the Rfam family "Plant signal recognition particle RNA", at positions 58 to 289 of the family's 305-position model. The record is from Rfam by way of RNAcentral. Lineage: Eukaryota; Viridiplantae; Streptophyta; Magnoliopsida; Solanales; Solanaceae.